Molecule: long non-coding RNA, 3834 nt
Filed under: Durio zibethinus
Lineage: Eukaryota; Viridiplantae; Streptophyta; Magnoliopsida; Malvales; Malvaceae
Description: long non-coding RNA (DZIB_LNC000523)
Source: RNAcentral
UUAUUUAUUAAUUAAAUUUAAUAAAUGAACAAAAAUAAAAUAUAUUUAUAAAUAAUUUGUCAAAAACUCUAUUUUCAUUUACAUCCUCACUAAUGACAGUACAUGAUAAUUAAAAAAAUCAUUCAUUUGAGUUUCAUAUAUGAUUGACGUGAGAUUUAAGUUUAGAGUACUAAUUAAUUUUCUACUAAUGCUUGUUAUGUCAUAAUUCAACUACUCUCAAGAAAUCUUUAGUAUUAGACAUCCUAGAAGUAAGGCAUUAAUUAAAUAUUUACUUUUCGUUAUUUACGUGAAUUAGAUAUGUUUCUUCUGAACUAAUUUUGAAGAAUGUUGAUAAAACUAGUUGUAAUUUUUAAUAUCGAUGACAUCUAGGGGGGGAGGGGGUACUUAAUUGAGUAUGGUUUGCUUCUAAAAUAAAAAUAAAAGUCCUUGUUUCUAUCUUUUGGUUAACUCGAAACAUACCGCGAUAAUCCACAAACAUGUAUCCUUUACGUUGACUUUACAACACGUUAGUUUAUCUCUAUCUCCUUUGUUUGGGAGCCAAUUAAAUGUUGAUAAUGAAUUUGAAAACCACAAGCAAUUGAAUUUGAACCUGUCUAGAUAGAAUAAAGGAGAUUACUAAUGCAAUCCUCUUUGUCAAUAAUAUUUUGUGAUUGGCUUUUACGGAAAGACAGCAAUGUGUUGAAAGAACUUAAACAAACUCCUUAAUUUUUCAACCUAUUCACAUGAGAUAAGCUUUAUAGAAAACGAAAGAAGCCCACGAGGAAAUUGCAAAAUCGGUUCUUGUUGGGUGAAACAUGCGUAACAUGCUUGGCCAAAACCAUAUUCAAAUCCUGAUAUCAUUCAAUCAAGAAGAUUUCAUUGACCAGCAGGUGAAUAUACAACGUUUUCCUGCUACGAGAUAACAAAUUUCGUGACAAUAUCAAAUCUCCUACAUGUUCAUGAUUUAAGCCUCACAAAGAAAAAAAAAUCAACACUCGUACGUUCUAUUUCAUAAAUAGAAUGGUUGAUUAAAACUUAAUCUUUACGACUUCAAAUACUGAAAAAAACAAACAACUGCUUCCUAAAAGGAAAUAAUGAUUUCUUCAAACGAACAGGGGAAAGGCGGUGCACCGAAUUAAAUUGCUGCAGAAAUAGGCUGGAAUUAUCGUUUUUUUUUUUUGAAUCAUUUUCCAGGACAGAAAGGUACCAAAUUUUACUGCCAGAUGUUUCAUAGAGUUGAAAGACUUCUAUUAGACUCACGAAGAGGUGGGAUUCUUCCAUACAUGGCAUCCAGACCCACAAGAAACAUGAAAUUGAUUUUCAAUUGUUAGGAAAAUAGCUAGCAAAACAGACCAUACCUUGAAAAAAAAAAAAGUUGAUUUUGAUAACUAUACGGAAACGAGAGAGGGGAGACAUUUUCUUGCUUCUCUUUCCACACCAAACCCCACACUUUCUUUCCAGCAGAGGACUCCUACUUUUGCAAAAUUCAGUGUCAACUCAAUCCUCGAAUCAUUUCACACUAGCUAGCAAUUGAUCAUACCUUUGCCAUAACCUCUACAAUUUCGAAAUUUAAAACCCUUUAUUUAUUUAUUUUUUGUUGUUGUCAAUUGUCAUUGCAAUUUUAGUACUAUACAAUAAACAUCGAUCAUUAAUUCAGUCGCUAGAACAUCUCUGUCAAACCUUGAAGAAAAUUCAACUGUAUUAAUAAUCAAUCGUCAGGAAGUUUCAUGUCGUUAUUGCUUUUGCCAAGAAAACAAUGCAGUUUCAUCGAUAUUUGGGCAUUAACCAUUUUCAUGAUUCUCAUUAUUCAUUAACCAAAAUGUUGCAUUUUGAAAGAAUGGAAUUACUAUAUAAUUACUUCUCAAUCCUCAUUUUAUUUAUUUAUUUAUUUAUUUUUACAUAAAAGAAGUUCACAAAAUUGAAUUCGAUUUAUAUAAUUAUUUAAAAAUCAACAUUUUAAUAUAUUAACAUUUGAUAUAUUUAGCAUUUAAAAAUUGGAACUACUUCCAAUUUUUUUCCCUUGUUUAGUAUAAUAAAAAAAGUCAUAGAUUGCAACAACAUAACACACUUGCAUUUGUAUAUACAUCGUUGAGUUGACUACGUAAAAAUAAAUAAAUAAAUAUUUGCAUCCAAAUAUCAUUUUUCAUGACUAAAUACAAAAAUAAUUUUAAUUACCCUAAACGGUAAAGCAGACGUAAACUAGGGUUCAUCAUAGACGUCAUGACAAGUGACAGCUCAAAAGGCAAAUAAUGCUUUAUUUUCUGUCGUCUAUCAUGAAAUGAAAUUUUACAGCAUGUCAACGAUGUUGAGAGUUGAAUAUAGCUUUCAUUUUAGAAUGUUAGAUGAAUUUUAUGUUAGGUUUUCUGUUUGAAUUUUUAAUAUAAUUUUUUUUUAAAUUUUGAAUAAAUAUUUUAUAUUUGAUUUAUUGAUUUAAAAUGCCAUCUUAUUGUUAAUAUCGACAGAAAAUUAAAGAGAGACGAUAUUUGAUAUGUUUAAAGUUUAAAUUUUAGUAUUUAUAUAUUUUUUAAUUUUUAAAUUAUGAUUUUUUUAUUAAAACAAUCAAUAAAAAAAGAUGCAUGUUAAUCUUCUAUUAACUUAUAUUAGAUCUUUUUCUUUUUUUUUGUAUUAUUUGAGUAAUUAAUAUAUAUAUAUAUAUAAAUCAACUACUGUAAUAAUCAUAAUUUGAUUUUAUUUUUGAAAAUUUUAAAGUUUACAAAUAAAAUUGAUAAACACACGAUCUAGUAUCAUAAUGAUUUCAAAUUAAAUUUAGUUAAAUCAAGUCCACAUAAAAGUUUUACAAAUGAAUUACUUAAAUAAGAAUAAUAAAAAGAUAAAUAAAUUAUAAAAAAAAUAAAUUAACACAUCAAGUGAACAAUAAAAUAUAAUGUAUAAACUUAUAUUUCAAAUCCUAAAAUAAAAUUCACCUAAUCGAUUCAAACAAAUUAAAUUAACACACACAAAAUAAAUAAAUGUUUUAUUUAUUUAUUUUAAUGAUUUUAUCAAUGAAUUUUUUUCCUUUUUUGAACCAUUUUUUUUAAAAACAAAAGUGUAGAUUUAGUUUACAAUCUAAUCGAUCUAAAAAAACCAAACAUCAUUAUACAAAAGAGAUUUAAUUUCGUCGCCAGAUUCCCUGACUUCAUCAAAUGUCUGGGUUCAUUGUUUAGCAUAAAAUGUCAUCCAAUCGACACAAAUUGACUUUUCAAUGAAUACGAUGUAAAUCUAAUUUUUUUUAAUAAUACAAUUCUUGUAAAUUUGAAUUAAAAUUAAAAUGAAGAUAGAAAGCAGGAGAACCUCUUGAUCGAACCAUCAUUUUCAAUCAAAGCCCACCAACCAGAGCAUACGUGGAUCUGUAUCACAUAUAUAUAAUUAUAUGAUAUGAUUUGUCAAUUUGGCAGAUGGAUACAUAAGCCUAAAUUGCACGUCAAGUAACGUCACCUUUGCAUUGUAAAAGAUCUUUUUUUUUUUUCCUUCUAUUUUCUAACUUUUUUAUAUACGAAAAUGGGAUAAUAAGUUUUGAAAUUAUUUAGUGUUUUAGCUACUUUCAGUUUCAUUAAUUACCAGCAAAUUUACUAGUAUUUUAGUUUUUUUUUUUUAAUUUUGUUUUAAUUUUCAAAGCCGUACCAAGCUGAAUCUACUAAACUAUCUAAAUUAAAUGAAUUUAAUUUAAUAUGAGUAUUAAAGUAGUGAUAGAAUAAAAUUGAAUUUCUAUCUUUCUAGAUAGUUAUUGUUCCAAAAUUAAUUAUCACCUACUUAUCCAAAAAAAUCAAUUACCACCUAAUUGGGAAGAUUUAGAUGAAGUUAAGUAUGUGAAGUUUUCUACUAAAAAUAAUUAAAUAAAAUUUAAAAUUUAAAUAA